Molecule: ribosomal RNA, 791 nt
Filed under: uncultured bacterium
Lineage: Bacteria
Description: bacterial SSU rRNA
Rfam family: Bacterial small subunit ribosomal RNA
Source: RNAcentral
AGAGUUUGAUCAUGGCUCAGAUUGAACGCUGCGCAUCCUUACACAUGCAAGUCGAACGGCAGCACGGACUUCGGUCGGGUGGCGAGUGGCGAACGGGUGAGUAAUACAUCGGAACGUGUCCUGGAGUGGGGGGAUAGCCCGGCGAAAGCCGGAUUAAUACCGCAUACGCUCUGAGGAGGAAAGCGGGGGAUCUUCGGACCUCGCGCUCAAGGGGCGGCCGAUGGCAGAUUAGCUAGUUGGUGGGGUAAAGGCCUACCAAGGCGACGAUCUGUAGCUGGUCUGAGAGGACGACCAGCCACACUGGGACUGAGACACGGCCCAGACUCCUACGGGAGGCAGCAGUGGGGAAUUUUGGACAAUGGGCGCAAGCCUGAUCCAGCAAUGCCGCGUGUGUGAAGAAGGCCUUCGGGUUGUAAAGCACUUUUGUCCGGAAAGAAAACCUUUGCCCUAAUACGGCGGGGGGAUGACGGUACCGGAAGAAUAAGCACCGGCUAACUACGUGCCAGCAGCCGCGGUAAUACGUAGGGUGCAAGCGUUAAUCGGAAUUACUGGGCGUAAAGCGUGCGCAGGCGGUCCGUUAAGACAGAUGUGAAAUCCCCGGGCUUAACCUGGGAACUGCAUUUGUGACUGGCGGACUCGAGUAUGGCAGAGGGGGGUAGAAUUCCACGUGUAGCAGUGAAAUGCGUAGAGAUGUGGAGGAAUACCGAUGGCGAAGGCAGCCCCCUGGGCCAAUACUGACGCUCAUGCACGAAAGCGUGGGGAGCAAACAGGAUUAGAUACCCUAGUAGUCC